CUAGUACUACGGGACGCAGCAGUGAGGAAUAUUGGACAAUGGACGAGAGUCUGAACCAGCCAAGUAGCGUGAAGGAUGACUGCCCUAUGGGUUGUAACCUUCUUUUAUAUGGGAAUAAAAUGUUCCACGUGUGGGAUUUUGUAUGUACCAUAUGAAUAAGGAUCGGCUAACUCGGUGCCAGCAGCCGCGGUAAUACGGAGGAUCCGAGCGUUAUCCGGAUUUAUUGGGUUUACAGGGAGCGUAGGUGGAUUGUUAAGUCAGUUGUGAACGUUUGCGGCUCAACCGUAAAAUUGCAGUUGAAACUG
Molecule: ribosomal RNA, 305 nt
Filed under: uncultured bacterium
Lineage: Bacteria
Description: bacterial SSU rRNA
Rfam family: Bacterial small subunit ribosomal RNA
Source: RNAcentral